AUAAAAGCAGGGUCCUAUUGCCUGUGUGAAUGGGUCUCUCGUAAACGUCAGGGAAAUUAGUUGCAAAGUUAUUGGGUGAACCUCUGUUUUGUGUCUUUGUGGCUCUCUGUGGCUGAAGGUUCAGUAAACCAUGCAACAUUU
Rosa rugosa (rugosa rose) is the source of this 141-nucleotide small nucleolar RNA. RefSeq annotates it as small nucleolar RNA snoR74. NCBI's taxonomy places the organism in Eukaryota, Viridiplantae, Streptophyta, Magnoliopsida, Rosales, Rosaceae. The record is from RefSeq and is a predicted model, not a curated record. The transcript has a single exon.